This 446-nucleotide ribosomal RNA is filed under the name uncultured bacterium. RNAcentral's name for it is "SSU rRNA". It matches the Rfam family "Bacterial small subunit ribosomal RNA", at positions 26 to 518 of the family's 1533-position model. The record is from RNAcentral.
AGAACGAACGCUGGCGGCAGGCCUAACACAUGCAAGUCGAGCGCUGUAGCAAUACAGAGCGGCGCACGGGUGAGUAACACGUGGGAACGUGCCUAUCGGUUCGGAAUAACUCAGGGAAACUUGAGCUAAUACCGGAUACGCCCCUUGGGGGAAAGAUUUAUCGCCGAUAGAGCGGCCCGCGUCCGAUUAGUUUGUUGGUGAGGUAAAAGCUCACCAAGGCAACGAUCGGUAGCUGGUUUGAGAGAACGACCAGCCACACUGGGACUGAGACACGGCCCAGACUCCUACGGGAGGCAGCAGUGGGGAAUCUUGGACAAUGGGGGAAACCCUGAUCCAGCCAUGCCGCGUGAGUGAUGAAGGCCCUAGGGUUGUAAAGCUCUUUUGUGCGGGAAGAUAAUGACGGUACCGCAAGAAUAAGCCCCGGCUAACUUCGCGCCAGCAGCCGC